RNAcentral lists this ribosomal RNA (253 nucleotides) under uncultured bacterium. RNAcentral's name for it is "partial 16S ribosomal RNA". It matches the Rfam family "Bacterial small subunit ribosomal RNA", at positions 524 to 776 of the family's 1533-position model. The record is from RNAcentral.
GACGUAGGGCGCGAGCGUUGUCCGGAUUUAUUGGGCGUAAAGAGCUCGUAGGUGGUUUGUCGCGUUGUCCGUGAAAACUCACAACUCAAUUGUGGGCGUGCGGGCGAUACGGGCAGACUGGAGUACUGCAGGGGAGACUGGAAUUCCUGGUGUAGCGGUGGAAUGCGCAGAUAUCAGGAGGAACACCGGUGGCGAAGGCGGGUCUCUGGGCAGUAACUGACGCUGAGGAGCGAAAGCGUGGGGAGCGAACAGG